RNAcentral lists this ribosomal RNA (257 nucleotides) under Chloromonas sp. CCCryo261-06. RNAcentral describes it as "partial 26S ribosomal RNA". It matches the Rfam family "Eukaryotic large subunit ribosomal RNA", at positions 1 to 265 of the family's 3401-position model. Lineage: Eukaryota; Viridiplantae; Chlorophyta; Chlorophyceae; Chlamydomonadales; Chlamydomonadaceae. The record is from RNAcentral.
GACCUGAGCUCAGACAAGGUUACCCGCUGAACUUAAGCAUAUCAAUAAGCGGAGGAAAAGAAACCAACCAGGAUUCCCCUAGUAACGGCGAGCGAACCGGGAAAAGCCCAACUUGAAAAUCUCCCUUUGGAGAAUUGUAGUCUACAGAAGUGCCCUCUGUGGCGGGAGGAGUUCAAGUCCGCUGGAAGGCGGCGUCAGAGAGGGUGAGAACCCCGUCAACUCCUACCUUGCUACACCACGAGGUGCUUUCCACGAGU